Molecule: ribosomal RNA, 312 nt
Filed under: uncultured Glomeromycotina
Lineage: Eukaryota; Fungi; Glomeromycota
Description: LSU rRNA
Source: RNAcentral
UUGAAAGGGAAACGAUUGAAGUCAGUCAUGCCGGUGGGAAUCAACUUAGGGGAAACUCUAGGUGCACUUCUUCGCUUGGCAGGUCAACGUCGAUUUUGAAUGUCAUAAAAUAAUUGGGGGAAGGUAGCUCCUUCGGGAGUGUUAUAGCCCUUGAUAGAUGUGAUGUUUGGGGUCGAGGAUUGCAACGGAUACCCUCUGGGGCUAGCCGCCUGAUCUCUAAUCGGUGUUGGGUUACGGAUAGCAUGCUGACCGUGAUCUAAUUACUGGUUAAAAGGUUAGAGCGUGUAUAAAUUCGUUAAGGAUGUUGACGUA